CUCAUGACUUCCUAUCAGGAUUCUGUUCAGCCACAUGCAGGGAGUUUCUUUAUCUUCAAAUUCACUCUCCAGUGUUCUGGACAUUGCCCACUCAUAGAUGGAGAGAGCUGGCUUGGUGAGGCCAGUCAGCCUUGGAGGGGUCUCCUUCUGAAAUCAGAAAUGCUGGUGUCUUAGAAACAAGCCCAGGGAAGACAGGGAGGAGGGCAGGGUACUUUCCCGGGUAUCAAGGGAAGAGCAAUGAAUCUACAGUUUAUACUUUCAAGGGGUUCCAAGUAGACCACAAAACAAAAGGAAGAAGAAGCCACUGAUACUGAGGGUGCUCUCAGGCCUGUUUCACAGAGGAGUGAAUUCUAGCAGCGGGAGGUUGAGUCAUGGGCCUGAUGUCGCCCAGCUGGAGAAUGCAGAGAUGGGAUCCAAGCCCAGGUCUGUCCAUCAUGGAGGCUACAGACGGGGCCUCAGGCUUCUCCUCCUCGGUAAAAAUGAACAGAUCCAUGACCACAGCUCCAGAGUGAGGAGGACUCGUCGUGGAAGAGGAUACAGCUUUGGAAAUUAUUUGGAAGCAGGAUAAUUCAUCUUCAUGUUACAUGCUGGAAGGAACUGUCUUUUGGUACAUACGUCAAAAAUAUCCUUUUCCCAUCAUCUGCUAUUUCCGAUUUGAAUCAGUAAUAACAGCUCAAUAAUGUGUUAAGCACAUAUUGAAAGGCUCUCAUGCAAAGUACUUUACUGGCAGUACCUAAUCUACCCUCUCACAAUAAUCCCAUAAACUAGGUACUGCCACAUUCUGUUAUGGAUGAGAAAACUGAGGCUGGAAGAGAUUAAGCAGCCUGUCUGAUGUCCAAGGGCAGGCAUACAUCUGUCCAAUUCCAGGGUCACAACUGUAAAUAACUGCUAUACAGCUCAUUAAUUUAUCUACUCUAUCAACAAAUACAAGGUACAGUGUGACCUCGGUUCACGAAUGCUUUUGUUGGCAAACAGUUUGGUUCAUAUACAAAAGUGUUUGAAAAUUUUUGCUUCUCUUUACAAACUCUGUGGUUUCUUUCU
Molecule: long non-coding RNA, 1041 nt
Organism: Fukomys damarensis (Damara mole-rat)
Lineage: Eukaryota; Metazoa; Chordata; Mammalia; Rodentia; Bathyergidae
Exons: 4
Source: RefSeq, a predicted model, not a curated record